Molecule: long non-coding RNA, 1020 nt
Organism: Raphanus sativus (radish)
Lineage: Eukaryota; Viridiplantae; Streptophyta; Magnoliopsida; Brassicales; Brassicaceae
Exons: 3
Source: RefSeq, a predicted model, not a curated record
AUGGUUUAUGAAUAAAUCAACAAACUCCAAAUUCAUCUAUUUCAGACAACGUCUUCGCCAUAGUGUCGAUCUAUAUCCUAUCAACUUCCUUUCGUUGAGCUCUCACGAAUUGUUUCCAGAAAUAGGACUUACUAUUCAACAAUUUUGACGAGCAAACACAGUUCACUGGAGAAGAAGAAGAAAGAGGAGACUCGAGCACGCACCACUUAGAUUCAUGCUGCAGUCUCUUUAGUUGGUGUGGAUGCAGCUGUUGCUGAUAUCGCAGGAGCCACCCUGCGUCUUGGAGCUAUGGAAAGGAUGAGCAAAUGGCUAAAACCGAUGUGGCGGUUUCUGUGACCCUUGCUCGGUCGAUACUGGUUGAUGAAGUGAUUGGAGCUAAGCGAGAGCAUUAGGGCAACAUUAUCGCAAGAACAAUUUUAAGUCCUUAAAAUAAAAAAAGCUAAGGACGAAAGAGAUAUUAAAAGGGCGGAAGACGAAGAACGAGCUGGGACGUUUCUUAUAUAACGACAUUCUUCCUCGGUCCUGCUGUUUUUGUGGGUUCCACUACCCUUAAGGACAAGCUGGGACGUUGCGAUAAUUAUGCUCUAGCAUAUAUGUAAUAUACUUCUGUACCUCCGGAGAUAUCAUGACACUCACUGCCGGCAAAUCCACAUUGUUAAGAAGAGUGACGAAAUGGAAAUGGAGGUCUAUAAAGAAAAUUUGGAACAUUGCAUCAGUUAUUCCAGUAGAUGAAGGACUCACUACUUCUGAAGGAUGCAUCAACUUAAUAGUGGUGGCAGUGGAAGUUCGAGUAGUAGUCACAGUGGCAAACUUAUACAAGAGAGUUUCUUAGGCACUGAAAAGAGAUAAAGAUUCACAAUAGGCCGUGUGUCAAACGUGCUCGCCAAAGUAAUAAAGAUUAACAGUUUACGUCUUAGUUUUUGGAUAUUUUGCCUAAUGAUUUGUUACAUUUGCAAGUGAUCUCCAACUGAAAAUAGUUAAUGUUUACAUCAACAAGGUGAUCAAGAAAAUGAUCGUUGA